GGGUCAUUGGUCUAGUGGUAGGAUUCGCGUUUCGGGUACACGAGGUCCCGGGUUCAAUCCCCGGAUGACCCC
Molecule: transfer RNA, 72 nt
Organism: Cryptosporidium muris RN66
Lineage: Eukaryota; Apicomplexa; Conoidasida; Eucoccidiorida; Cryptosporidiidae
Rfam family: tRNA
About the family: Transfer RNA (tRNA) molecules are approximately 80 nucleotides in length. Their secondary structure includes four short double-helical elements and three loops (D, anti-codon, and T loops). Further hydrogen bonds mediate the characteristic L-shaped molecular structure. tRNAs have two regions of fundamental functional importance: the anti-codon, which is responsible for specific mRNA codon recognition, and the 3' end, to which the tRNAs corresponding amino acid is attached (by aminoacyl-tRNA synthetases). tRNAs cope with the degeneracy of the genetic code in two manners: having more than one tRNA (with a specific anti-codon) for a particular amino acid; and 'wobble' base-pairing, i.e. permitting non-standard base-pairing at the 3rd anti-codon position.
Source: Rfam